Capsicum annuum is the source of this 3312-nucleotide long non-coding RNA. RefSeq lists it as uncharacterized. NCBI's taxonomy places the organism in Eukaryota, Viridiplantae, Streptophyta, Magnoliopsida, Solanales, Solanaceae. The transcript has 3 exons. The record is from RefSeq and is a predicted model, not a curated record.
AAUUUGAUUUUUAAAGUUUCUCAAAAAACCAGACAAACUUUAGAGUCAAAUAAAUUUUGCACUGAGUCAGACUCACAAACAUCUACUCCACCAUUGACCCAGCCUUAUAGACUUUCGGUACCAACACAUGAUGCGGCAACACCGGAAAAUGAUUAAGUACAACCAGAAUACAAGGACAUACUUUGUAGGAUGAUGGUCGUGCCUGAUGGAUCUGGUUUUAUCCAGAUAAAGAGAGCAUAGAUGUUCUGAAAGAGAACAUUAGAAGUCUUUAUGAUCAGCCUUAUCCAUCGUAGAACGAAAUUCCAGUAAGGACAUGGCAAGUCAUGUUUAGUCAAUUUAAGGCAGUUGGUUUGCGGAUAUUGUGUAUUUGGCUUUCAAAAUGUAGUUAUUUUUUUCGUGCAUGACUUACGAGAGGAAGGCUAGUUUCAAAAUGUCAGACUGGUUUGGGGAUGCUCAGCAAAAUAAAAAGAAGCAUAAUUGUCUUCUCUUGAUCUUUGCAAGGGUUUUCAAACAUAUUAGAGGAUCCUUGAGUUUUGACUUAGUCUGAUAAAGCAAAGAAAGCCAGAAGGUCUGCAAAAGGUGCCCAUUGCUCACUAGAGGUACAAAGAAAGAAAUUGGUAAGUAAUAUUAUUAAUUUUUUAAUUUAUAUGCUUAUAUAAAUUUGACUAAAUUUUAUUGAUUAUAUUUGAUUAAAUUUUAUUUGAAGGCCAAAAAAUAGAUGUGCGAGUGACUCAAAAUGAUAUCUUUUGAGCAAUCCACAUAAAAAGUGGAAGAAUGAGUUAGAUAUUACAGAAUGAGUUGAGUAAAAGGCUCAACAAAGCUAUAUAAGUUUGAUAAAAAAUUAUACAGAAAGUAAUACUAUGACUAUGUAUACUAACUUUUAUUUUUAAAUUAGCUCAGGGUCAAAUGUGAAACUCAUAAGAAUAUAUCUAACGUCAGGCAGUUGGUUUGCGGAUAUUGUGUAUUUGGCUUUCAAAAUGUAAUUAUUUUUUUCGUGCAUGACUUACGAGAAGAAGGCUAGUUCCAAAAUGUCAGACUGAUUUGGGGAUGCUAACAACAUAAAAAGAAGCAUAAUUGUCUUCUCUUGAACUUUACAAGGGUCUUCAAACAUAUUAGAGGAUCCUUGAGUUUUGACUUAGUCUGAUAAAGCAAAGAAAGCCAGAAGGUCUGCAAAAGGUGCCUAUUGCUCACUAGAGGUACAAAGAAAGAAAUUGGUAAGUAAUAUUAUUAAUUUUUUAAUUUAUAUGCUUAUAUAAAUUUGACUAAAUUUUAUUGAUUAUAUUUGAUUAAAUUUUAUUUGAAGGCCAAAAAAUAGAUGUGCGAGUGACUCAAAAUGAUAUCUUUUGAGCAAUCCACAUAAAAAGUGGAAGAAUGAGUUAGAUCUUACAGAAUAAGUUGAGUAAAAGGCUCAACAAAGCUAUAUAAGUUAGAUAAAAAAUUAUACAGAAAGUAAUACUAUGACUAUGUAUACUAACUUUUAUUUUUAAAUUAGCUCAGGGUCAAAUGUGAAACUAGAUGCCACUUGCGCCUCCCGAGAUUGGGGCGUGCGAUUACUCAAGGUUUAAGGAUUUUCCUAUCUAUCGAUAGGAUUGGAAUAGGUGAAACCAUGGUCUAAAUUUUUAGAUCAUAACAACUUGAUAUCAGGGUAUGCAUCAUUGAUAUCAUAAGUGCGAGCCAUUUCUAGUAAAGGUUUGUGAAUCAGUGCAUAGACGUCUGUUACAUAUCUUUGAGGUGCUAUAGAAAUUUAAAAAAAUUAUGUUCUUUCUUUCUUGCUAUGCAUACUUAAUUCCAUCAAUUACUAAAAACCUCUAAUGCAUUCUCUCAUAGAUGGCAAGGAUACGAUCUACUCAUUGCUAGGGGUCGAGAUCCCACACUUGCACCUACAUAUACUAUCCAAGUCGUGGCACGUGGGCGAGGUUGAGGUCGAGGUCGAGGUAGGGGCAAAUGUUGUGUUGCAACACUAGUUAGAGUGAGAGCACAUUGAUGUGAAAUGAGCUGGGCAUUUAAAGAAAUUAAAGAUGGGUUCUUCAACCCCAGAUGAACACCAAGAACAUUUAUAGAAAAUAAUAAAAAGAGUAGGAAGAUUAAAAGAAUUGAUAGGAUAAAUGCACAUCUAAGUAAUUAAGUACCUAGACAUAUAAAGAUAUAAUCAAUAAUCUUAAAUCUAAAAUAAGAAGAAAGAAAGGGUUAAUCUAGAAUUACAAUGCAAUCAAUUAACUCAAAGAAAUAAUUAGGAGAAUAUAAGAACUAAUUAUAUUAACAUUCAAAUACAAGAUAUAAUCCAAAGACAAAAAGAGACAUGAACUGAUACAUGGAUUACUACUCAUAGUUAUUCAAGAGAGGGUCAAGAAGAAAUAUAUGACAAAUCACUAACUCACAGAAAGAGCAACUUUAUCUAACCAUCCAAAGUAAUCUAUCUCAAAAAGAGACCUAAUAACUUAUUUAUACUAUGGUUCAUUAUUUUUAAGGAAAAUAUUAAACUACCCUCAAACUUUAGGCAUCCUAGUUUAGGACCAAGGGCAUAAGUCCUUUUUCGGGCUUCUCGUUAUAUUGGACCUUGUUAUAUUAUGGAUCUUGAAGUAUGGAAAGAAUCCUACAAUUUCAUAUAGUCAUCUGGUAUCUCAUUGCACAUGUAGCUGGAUUGCCCUAUUCAAAGCAACAUCUAUCGAGAUUGAGUAUUUUUUAGGAAAUGAGUUGGCUUUAAGGGGAGGAUAUGAUGUAACUUAGAUGAAUUUAUGGCUACACCUAUCUCUAGGACUAUUAUUUGUAUUCUUGGUUUACUAGAAGGUACUGCUCAAGCCAGUAUCUUAUCUGAUACUCCAAAUAAUCUUCAGAUGAGGACAGGGGGUAGACUCUUAAAUCAACAUCUAAUUAUAGAUUUCUAGGGUGUAGCGGGUCAGCCACUCGCAAUGACAUCUUGUUCUGUAACGCCCCGAAAUAUCAUUUCGAGACGCCACACGGUGCCCAAGGCUACACGUAGCCUCAAGCUAAUCCUUUAAGCCAAAACACUAUCCUUGGGUUCCAACACAACAUACACGCUACGCUAAGGAUAUAUAUAUAAGUACAUAUCAUAUCACAUCGCACAUGGCACGGAAUAUCGUUAGACUAUACAUAUAUGGAAUGUCUAUACAUAAACCCACCCAAUAAUACACUAGUCUAGCAUAGCCUCUAUACAAUAAAAUCACCGAUCCAUUGGGACAAACCCCCAACUGAUUCAACAGAGCAAAGGGAUCACAAAACAACAACACCAAAACUAGCAACUUGGUCCUCGAACCAUGAGGAUUCACCACUGAAGGAACGUAGAUGCGGCAC